This 484-nucleotide ribosomal RNA is filed under the name uncultured bacterium. Its description in RNAcentral is "partial 16S ribosomal RNA". It matches the Rfam family "Bacterial small subunit ribosomal RNA", at positions 30 to 507 of the family's 1533-position model. The record is from RNAcentral.
AUUGAACGCUGGCGGCAGGCCUAACACAUGCAAGUCGAGCGGAUGAAGGGAGCUUGCUCCUGGAUUCAGCGGCGGACGGGUGAGUAAUGCCUAGGAAUCUGCCUGGUAGUGGGGGAUAACGUCCGGAAACGGGCGCUAAUACCGCAUACGUCCUGAGGGAGAAAGUGGGGGAUCUUCGGACCUCACGCUAUCAGAUGAGCCUAGGUCGGAUUAGCUAGUUGGUUGGGUAAAGGCCUACCAAGGCGACGAUCCGUAACUGGUCUGAGAGGAUGAUCAGUCACACUGGAACUGAGACACGGUCCAGACUCCUACGGGAGGCAGCAGUGGGGAAUAUUGGACAAAGGGCGAAAGCCUGAUCCAGCCAUGCCGCGUGUGUGAAGAAGGUCUUCGGAUUGUAAAGCACUUUAAGUUGGGAGGAAGGGCAGUAAGUUAAUACCUUGCUGUUUUGACGGUACCAACAGAAUAAGCACCGGCUAACUUCGUG